This 66-nucleotide transfer RNA is filed under the name Chamberlainia hainesiana. Its description in RNAcentral is "tRNA-Ile". The record is from RNAcentral. Lineage: Eukaryota; Metazoa; Mollusca; Bivalvia; Unionida; Unionidae.
GGUAUUACGCCGGAAGAACGGGCUACUCUGAUGAGGUAGAUUAUAGGCCUUCACACCUUAAUACUU